UACGUAGGGUGCAAGCGUUAAUCGGAAUUACUGGGCGUAAAGCGUGCGCAGGCGGUUAUGUAAGACAGAUGGGAAAUCCCAGGGCUCAACCUUGGAACUGCAUUUGUGACUGCAUAGCUAGAGUACGGUAGAGGGGGAUGGAAUUCCGCGUGUAGCAGUGAAAUGCGUAGAUAUGCGGAGGAACACCGAUGGCGAAGGCAAUCCCCUGGACCUGUACUGACGCUCAUGCACGAAAGCGUGGGGAGCAAACAGG
RNAcentral lists this ribosomal RNA (253 nucleotides) under uncultured bacterium. RNAcentral's name for it is "partial 16S ribosomal RNA". It matches the Rfam family "Bacterial small subunit ribosomal RNA", at positions 524 to 776 of the family's 1533-position model. The record is from RNAcentral.